Molecule: unclassified non-coding RNA, 17 nt
Filed under: Human immunodeficiency virus 1
Lineage: Riboviria; Pararnavirae; Artverviricota; Revtraviricetes; Ortervirales; Retroviridae
Description: TAR RNA from Human immunodeficiency virus 1 (PDB 7PKS, chain P)
Source: RNAcentral
UAACUAGGGAACCCACU